GGAGGAGUGGCAGAGUGGUUGAAUGCACCGGUCUUGAAAACCGACGAAGGUGAAAGUCUUCCCAGGGUUCGAAUCCCUGCUCCUCCGCCA
This 90-nucleotide transfer RNA is filed under the name Paracoccaceae bacterium. Its description in RNAcentral is "Rhodobacteraceae bacterium tRNA-Ser". It matches the Rfam family "tRNA". From Rfam's summary of the family: Transfer RNA (tRNA) molecules are approximately 80 nucleotides in length. Their secondary structure includes four short double-helical elements and three loops (D, anti-codon, and T loops). The record is from RNAcentral. Lineage: Bacteria; Pseudomonadati; Pseudomonadota; Alphaproteobacteria; Rhodobacterales; Paracoccaceae. RNAcentral also lists the same sequence under 1 other name.